AUUGAACGCUGGCGGCAUGCUUUACACAUGCAAGUCGAACGGCAGCGCGGGCUUCGGCCUGGCUGCGAGUGGCGAACGGGUGAGUAAUGCAUCUGAACGUGCCCAGUAGUGGGGUAUAGCCCGGCGAAAGCCGGAUUAAUACCGCAUACGACCUGAGGGUGAAAGCGGGGGACCGAAAGGCCUCGCGCUAUUGGAGCGGCCGAUGUCGGAUUAGCUAGUUGGUUGGGUAAAGGCUUACCAAGGCGACGAUCCGUAGCUGGUCUGAGAGGACGACCAGCCACACUGGGACUGAGACACGGCCCAGACUCCUACGGGAGGCAGCAGUGGGGAAUUUUGGACAAUGGGGGCAACCCUGAUCCAGCCAUGCCGCGUGCGGGAAGAAGGCCUUCGGGUUGUAAACCGCUUUUGUUCGGGAAGAAAUCCUCUGGGCUAAUACCCAGGGGGGAUGACGGUAACGGAAGAAGAAGCACCGGCUAACUACGUG
This 484-nucleotide ribosomal RNA is filed under the name uncultured bacterium. RNAcentral's name for it is "partial 16S ribosomal RNA". It matches the Rfam family "Bacterial small subunit ribosomal RNA", at positions 29 to 507 of the family's 1533-position model. The record is from RNAcentral.